AUUAAAGUUAAUUCAGAUAUCUAAAAUUUACUAUAAAAAUCAAAACAUUAUUAAAUUUAGUAAAGGUGAUUAAAAAUUAUUUUAUCUGUAGCUGUAAAGUACUGUAAAGGAAGGAAUUAUAAUUAUAAAAAAGAAAAAAUCAAAUUUUGUACCUUUUGCAUCAUGGUUUAGCUAGAUUUAUAUUGGAUAUAUCAAUUUCUCGAAAUUUAAUGAGCUAUUUUUAACCCCUGUAUUAGCACUAAGGAGUAAUUGUAGCAAAAAUUUUCUCAGAGUUAAGAAUAGAAAUGAAAUUUUAUCCGCAUUAAAUGAUAGCUAGUUCUUCUAAAAAGGCAUAGAAGUGCUUUGAAUUAGGAUUUUCUUAGUGAUAUAUUAUAUACUAAAUAAAAUUUAAUUCAACUAAAUUUUCAAGGAUAAGCUUGAAAAUACAAAUGACAAUCACAUACUUACUAAAAUUAAAUUUAAGCUUGAAAAUGGCUAAUAUUGUAGAUUUUGUUAUAAUUUCAUUACAAAAGUUAGAGAUAUAAUUAAUUUGUGUGCUAAAAAAGAAGGAAUCUCAAGAAUUAUUUGCGAGUUAUGCUUAUGCUAAAAUGAGUAUUUUUAACAAUUUAAUUUAACUACAACACUCGCAAUAAAACACUAGAAAUUAAAUUUAAUUUUAAAAAUAAAAUUAUAAAAAGGAAUUCGGCAAAAUAAAGUAUUCUGCCUGUUUAUUAAAAACAUGGCUCCUUGAAUUAAAACCUAAUGGGGAGUCGGACCUGCCCGGUGAAAUUUUUUAACGGCCGCGGUACUCUGACCGUGCAAAGGUAGCAUAAUCAUUUGUCUUAUAAUUGAAGGCUAGUAUGAAUGGUUUGACAAGAAUACUGCUGUCUCUUUAUAACUUAUUAGAAUUUUAUCCUAAGGUGUAGAAGCCUUAAUAAAAUUGAUAGACAAGAAGACCCUAUCGAGCUUUAAAAAAUUUAGUAGAUUUUUAUUUCAUAAAGUUAGUUAGCUAUUAAAAAUUUUGGUUGGGGCGACUAAGGAACAAACAAAGCUUCCUUUAAUAUUAAUAAACCCACAAGUCCUGAUCCAGAACUUUUGAUUAAAGAAAUUAGUUACCGUAGGGAUAACAGCAUUAUCUUUUUUGAGAGCUCUUAUCGAAAAAAAGGUUUGUGACCUCGAUGUUGGACCAGAAUAUCCUAAAGAUGCAGAAGUCUUUAAGGGUUGGUCUGUUCGACCAUUAAAAUUCUACGUGAUCUGAGUUUAGACCGGCGUGAGCCAGGUCAGUUUCUAUCUUCAAUUCAUUAAAGUAAAUUUAGUACGAAAGGACCUGUUUAUUAUAAUAAAAUAUUAUCUUCAGAAAAAAUAUAAUAUAAAAUUUAAAUUCGUAUACAAAC
Molecule: ribosomal RNA, 1373 nt
Filed under: Comitas kaderlyi
Lineage: Eukaryota; Metazoa; Mollusca; Gastropoda; Neogastropoda; Turridae
Description: 16S ribosomal RNA
Rfam family: Bacterial large subunit ribosomal RNA
Source: RNAcentral